GACGAACGCUGGCGGCGUGCUUAACACAUGCAAGUCGAACGGAAAGGCCCUGCUUGCAGGGUACUCGAGUGGCGAACGGGUGAGUAACACGUGGGUGAUCUGCCCUGCACUUCGGGAUAAGCCUGGGAAACUGGGUCUAAUACCGGAUAGGAGCCAUUUUUAGUGUGAUGGUUGGAAAGUUUUUUCGGUGUAGGAUGAGCUCGCGGCCUAUCAGCUUGUUGGUGGGGUAAUGGCCUACCAAGGCGGCGACGGGUAGCCGGCCUGAGAGGGUGGACGGCCAGCUGGGCUGGGAGAGGGGGCCGCGACAGGGGUGAGGGGGGGGGGGGGGGAGUAUGGCGGGGGGGGGGGUGGCGGGGGUGCGCGACGGCGGGGGGGUGAGGGCUGCGCUCGGGUUGGAUACUCUUGGCGCGGGGGAUUAAUUUUUGCGUGACGGUACCUAGAAAAGAAGAACCGGGAGACUAGGUGCCGGCAGCCGGGGUAAGUAGCGGAGUAACAAACGACUGACC
Molecule: ribosomal RNA, 506 nt
Filed under: uncultured bacterium
Lineage: Bacteria
Description: partial 16S ribosomal RNA
Rfam family: Bacterial small subunit ribosomal RNA (bases 20-322)
Source: RNAcentral